UCGAAUUCAGACAUUCUUGGUCAUUUAGAGGAAGUAAAAGUCAUAACAAGGUUUCCGUAGGUGAACCUGCGGAAGGAUCAUUAAUAAUGCUCUCUGGCUUCGGUCAGUUGAGUUCAAUGAGUGCCUUCUCUUCGGAGUUGGCCAUCCACACACACCGUGAACUGUGGCUUCGGCCAUCACAAACUGUUAGUAAUGAAUGUAAUAUCAUAACAAAAACAAAACUUUUAACAACGGAUCUCUUGGCUCUCGCAUCGAUGAAGAACGCAGCGAAAUGCGAUAAGUAAUGUGAAUUGCAGAAUUCAGUGAAUCAUCGAAUCUUUGAACGCACCUUGCGCCCUUUGGUAUUCCGAAGGGCAUGCCUGUUUGAGUGUCAUGAAACCUCACCCCACUUGGGUUUUUGCCUGAGCGGUGGUGUAUUGGGUGUUGCCUUGCCAAAGGCUCGCCUUAAAAACAUAAGCACCUUGGAUGUAAUACGUUUCAUCCUUCUGGGUGGCUGAUAACCCCACAUAUUCAUGAUCUGGCCUCAAAUCAGGUAGGGCUACCCGCUGAACUUAAGCAUAUCAAUAAGCGGAGGAAAUGUCUC
RNAcentral lists this ribosomal RNA (583 nucleotides) under uncultured Cryptococcus. RNAcentral's name for it is "eukaryotic LSU rRNA". The stretch from base 220 to 373 matches the Rfam family "5.8S ribosomal RNA". The record is from RNAcentral. Lineage: Eukaryota; Fungi; Basidiomycota; Tremellomycetes.